GGGCCCAGUCCGUGUCGGUGGGACGGCGGGGUCGGGUGGGCUUUCUGGUCCGUGGACCAGAUCGUUAGGAACGAAACCGAGCCCUGGAUCAGAUAGGACGCACGUCACGUUAGGGAAGAGAUGGGCGAAGCGGCGGUCCCGAACGAGCUGGUUCUUUCUGAAACCCUCGUCAUGCGGUCGAUUCGCCCAACCCAGGGCUAUCUCUAUUUUGAUCUUCCACUUUCAAGGCCAUUUGCGGCGGCGCCCAUUGUCCCCCCGGCGAGGAAGGAAAAAAUGGAAGAUCCUGGCCUGGAGUUCCUUCUAGACGCCAUUGACAGGUUUCCGUUGCGGGAGGAGUUCGCCGACAACCUAAGCACCCAGAUCCGGUUCCCCUUGCCUUGUUGCCGCGGAACGAGGAGGAAACCUGGGCAUCCCAGCGGACUCAAAUGCAAAUUCUAGUUGUGGCCAACAGCUCGGCGGCGAGAGCCAUGGCGGACAGCGCGGAGACGUUCGUCGGCGGAAAGAUGCUUCUGCGACAAGCUCUACCCAGUCAACUGACAGAGUGAACCUUGGACAAAAAGCAUAAUCCUUUAUACACGAAGAAGGGCGAGUUCCAGGCUGAGUAUUACAAGGUUGUCAAUUACAUGUUAACUGAAGAUGAAUUUGAGACUGCGUGGGCUUUGCUAUUAGAUAAGUAUGAUUUGUGAAGCACCCGUACAUGACCAAGAUAUAUGAAAUCAGGAAGAAAUGGGCAAAACCAUAUUUCAAGGGGGUUUUCUGUGCCAAGAUGACGAGCACGCAACGCAGCGAGAGCGCCAAUAACAUGCUGAAGACAUACAUGCCAGCCCAAUGCAUGUAUUUGUUAAGCAGUAUAUGAGGGUGCAACUUGAUCGGGAGCGUGAGAGAGCUACGAUGAGAAGAGGACAAUGAUUGGUCGGGCGGUUCGGAGGAAAAAUUUGACUGUAGAGCGACAUGCAAGUAAAAAUUACACAAGAGCUAUGUUUGAGGAGUUUGGUCGGCUACUGAUUGAAGGAACAUCUUACAAUGUUACCGAGGUGGAGAAGAUGGAGAAGUAUAUUACAACACACAACAAUGCGUCAAGAAGAGAGAAGUGGAGCAGGGUUGAGUACUCACGGUCAGUGAUGACCGGUCCGAGUUUACAUGCGAGUGUGGACAAUUCGAGCACACUGGAAUGUUGUGCAGCCAUGUUUUGCGGGUCAUGGACAUACUUCUUCUGGAGGAGAUCCCGGUGAAGCUUAUUGCGAAUUGCUGGACCAGGGAGGGACAUACUCCCCUUGGACCUGGUUCAACAUCAGAAGGAUAAUUCAGUGAAAUUGUCAUUCACAUGCAGACACUCAACACUUACCUGAAAGCUAUGCAGGUCGUGCGGACGGGCAACGCGAGUGCCGAAGCAUUUGAACACACGAUGAGCGCACCAUUGGCAGCAAAGAGGGAUGGUUUAGGUUUUUAAGACCAUAAUGAGAGACUCGAACUGGGUAGAUUGGUUUACUAUGUUGGUGUUGAUAAUGGUAACCAAGAUAACAGUGAUGGAAUGCCCUUCAAGACCUAGCGCCUCCUGAUAAGCAACAAGAGGUCGACAGACCAACAAAUGGCAGCGAAAAGGCGGCUUACGAGGGUCUGAGCAAGUGGAGAAGAUUCUGUAGCAUAUGUCUUUGAGAGGGACAUAAGCGCACUACCUGCCUGGACAGAGACGAUGCUCCGAAGAAACCAGGGAAGCCUGGCAAAUGCAAAAACUGUGGCAUGGAAGAAAACCGCCGGAUGACAUGCACAAUGCCGCUUGGAGUUGCAGAAAUAUGAAAUCUACUAUUUAAAAUGUUGGUUAUCGAGGAUUUUCUGGUGUGUUCAAGUAAGCAUUUGCUCCACGCUUGUUCCUCUUGUGGUUAGAGACAUGACAACUGUAUAACAAAAACAGAAUGCAUUGGUCACACAUGAUAUUCAUUAAUUUCUGAUAGGCAAAUGCAUUGUCCUAGAGAAAACAUGCUUAGAGGUUGACUGGUUGAGGGUGCCACCCUUCAGUACAAACGCCCCUGCCAGGGGAUGAUAAUACAAACUAGAGUACGUGAUAGAGUUUUUUUUGCAAGCUAAUUGGACGAACCAAAGUAAAUUGCCAGAACAAAAGAACAAGAACAUUAUGGCCCCGCUUGGCAUCGGUGUAUUUUUAUACACCUGUAUUUUUUUAAAGGUGUAUAAUAUCGGCCACACUUGAUUGAUUUUUGCAUGGAAAAGAAAACGACGGAUCGAGGUCCGUAUAUAUUAUAGUGGUAUGGCGCUGUCAAACACCAAUCCAAUGAGGGCCUAAGCAUGCUGCUAACAGAACAGCUAUGAUUGCUAGUGCUUGGGACCCUGAUGUAGCGGCGACGGCGGCUGCCGGCCUUAAUCACAUGGUUGACCAGCUCAUGCUGCGACGGCGGUGGUGCCUGGAUCUGGAGAUGGUUUGGUUGAGGAUGUAUCUGCACUGGACCGUUGCCCUGCUGAGCCUGAUGUGGAUUUUGAGCACCAAGCAUCUGCGCGGGGUGGUGACCCACGGCCUGCUGCACAACACGCGCAACCUGCUGAGGAGAGAGCCUCCUGAAGUAAGCCUGCUGGAAGUCAAAGAAAUGGCAAGGCUGCGACAUAAAAGGAUUCAGCAGAGACAUUGUUCAGUAAGAAGAUGAGAUUGGUGGUGCG
This is a long non-coding RNA of Triticum aestivum (bread wheat), 2667 nucleotides long. RefSeq lists it as uncharacterized. The transcript has 5 exons. The record is from RefSeq and is a predicted model, not a curated record. NCBI's taxonomy places the organism in Eukaryota, Viridiplantae, Streptophyta, Magnoliopsida, Poales, Poaceae.